GAACGUCGUGAGACAGUUCGGUCCCUAUCUGGUGUGGGCGUUGGAUGAUUGAUGGGAGCUGCUCCUAGUACGAGAGGACCGGAGUGGACGCACCUCUGGUGUAUCGGUUGUCACGCCAGUGGCAUUGCCGAGUAGCUAAGUGCGGAAGAGAUAACCGCUGAAAGCAUCUAAGCGGGAAACUCGUCUCAAGAUGAGUCUUGCCGGGGCCUUGAGCCCCCUGAAGGGUCGUUCGAGACCAGGACGUUGAUAGGCUG
RNAcentral lists this ribosomal RNA (254 nucleotides) under Lotharella globosa. RNAcentral describes it as "partial Bacterial large subunit ribosomal RNA". It matches the Rfam family "Bacterial large subunit ribosomal RNA", at positions 2614 to 2863 of the family's 2925-position model. Lineage: Eukaryota; Cercozoa; Chlorarachniophyceae. The record is from RNAcentral.